CCUACGGGAGGCAGCAGUGGGGAAUAUUUCACAAUGGGGGAAACCCUGAUGCAGCGACGCCGCGUGCGUGAAGAAGUAUUUCGGUAUGUAAAGCUCUAUCAGCAGGGAAGAAAUAGCGACCUUUGGGUCGCCAGACGGUACCUGACUAAGUAGCCCCGGCUAAAUACGUGCCAGCAGCCGCGGUAAUACGUAGGGGGCAAGCGUUACCCGGAUUUACUGGGUGGAAAGGGAGCGUAGACGGCAGAACAAGUCGGAGGUGAAAUGGCGGGGCUAAACCCCGGAACUGCUUUGGAAACUGUGCAGCUAGAGUGCAGUAGAGGUAAGUGGAAUUCCUAGUGUAGGGGUGAAAUGCGUAGAUAUUAGGAGGAACACCAGUGGCGAAGGCGGCUUACUGGAAUGUAACUGACGUUGAGGCUCGAAAGCGUAGGGAGCAAACAGGAUUAGAUACCCCAGUAGUC
Molecule: ribosomal RNA, 458 nt
Filed under: uncultured bacterium
Lineage: Bacteria
Description: partial 16S ribosomal RNA
Rfam family: Bacterial small subunit ribosomal RNA
Source: RNAcentral